AUGAACGCUAGCUACAGGCUUAACACAUGCAAGUCCAGGGGAAACGACAUCGAAAGCUUGCUUUUGAUGGGCGUCGACCGGCGCACGGGUGAGUAACGCGUAUCCAACCUGCCCAUCACUUGGGGAUAACCUUGCGAAAGUAAGACUAAUACCCAAUGAUAUCUCUAGAAGACAUCUGAAAGAGAUUAAAGAUUUAUCGGUGAUGGAUGGGGAUGCGUCUGAUUAGCUUGUUGGCGGGGUAACGGCCCACCAAGGCAACGAUCAGUAGGGGUUCUGAGAGGAAGGUCCCCCACAUUGGAACUGAGACACGGUCCAAACUCCUACGGGAGGCAGCAGUGAGGAAUAUUGGUCAAGGGGCGAGAGCCUGAACCAGCCAAGUAGCGUGCAGGAAGACGGCCCUAUGGGUUGUAAACUGCUUUUAGAAGGGAAUAAAGUGAGAGUCGUGACUCUUUUUGUAUGUACCUUAUGAAUAAGGACCGGCUAAUUCCGUG
This 491-nucleotide ribosomal RNA is filed under the name uncultured bacterium. RNAcentral's name for it is "partial 16S ribosomal RNA". It matches the Rfam family "Bacterial small subunit ribosomal RNA", at positions 29 to 507 of the family's 1533-position model. The record is from RNAcentral.